RNAcentral lists this ribosomal RNA (372 nucleotides) under uncultured beta proteobacterium. RNAcentral describes it as "bacterial SSU rRNA". It matches the Rfam family "Bacterial small subunit ribosomal RNA", at positions 198 to 551 of the family's 1533-position model. Lineage: Bacteria; Pseudomonadati; Pseudomonadota; Betaproteobacteria. The record is from RNAcentral.
GGAGGAAAGCAGGGGAUCGCAAGACCUUGCGCUCAUUGAGCGGCCGAUGCCUGAUUAGCUAGUUGGUGAGGUAAAGGCUUACCAAGGCGACGAUCAGUAGCUGGUCUGAGAGGACGACCAACCACACUGGGACUGAGACACGGCCCAGACUCCUACGGGAGGCAGCAGUGGGGAAUUUUGGACAAUGGGGGAAACCCUGAUCCAGCCAUGCCGCGUGAGUGAAGAAGGCCUUCGGGUUGUAAAGCUCUUUCAGCCGGAACGAAACGGUCACGGCUAAUACCUGUGACUACUGACGGUACCGGAAGAAGAAGCACCGGCUAACUACGUGCCAGCAGCCGCGGUAAUACGUAGGGUGCGAGCGUUAAUCGGAAU